Helianthus annuus (common sunflower) is the source of this 436-nucleotide long non-coding RNA. RefSeq lists it as uncharacterized. The record is from RefSeq and is a predicted model, not a curated record. NCBI's taxonomy places the organism in Eukaryota, Viridiplantae, Streptophyta, Magnoliopsida, Asterales, Asteraceae. The transcript has 5 exons.
UAGGAAAACAAGGGUUUGGUAUAAUAGGGUUUUGGUUGCUGUUUUUCAGAAGUAAAAGGCGGAGGUGCUUCUAGGCCUCAACUGGGUCAUGGGUUUCGAAGUGAUCUAUUUAAGAUGGUUGCAGAUAUGAAGCCUGCAUUUAUUAGAUUUCCAGGUUUAUCUAUACUAUAUAAGAAGAUGAAGAGAGAGAGGUUGAGAUGGUUUCCGUGCUCUGGAACUUCAAAGAAGAAGAAGAUGAAGAUAUGGGGAUGGUUUCCAUGCUCUGGAACCUCAAAGAAGAUGAAGAGCUAUCACCUAUGAGCUUCAGAAGAUAUGGGGGAUGGAAAAGGAAAAAGUGUUUCAUAGAGAGUUGACUACUUGACUUGGUCAAGUUAUCUGUUACCAUUUUGGCUCCAUUCUGUUGGGUUCUUAAGAUUGCUUCUUAACAUUGCUUCUU